UCUAAUAAGGUGGUGGAGAAAAUGGCGAGGAAGAGGAAAAUGAAAAUAUAUAGUCAACAUCGUUUGAUCACUUUGGUAACUCUAAUCAAGAAUGAAUGCAAGAGAUAUUAUGCAUGAAAUGACAGAACCAGUAACUCCCGUGGUUGGCUCUACGAGCAAUGUUGCUACUUUCAGUCGUUCUGUGCCACUACCGGCUCCGGCGGAAAAGCCCAAAAAAAUUUUCGAGAUUGAUUUCAAACUUGGCAACAGAAGAUGUUCUUCUAUUUGACUAUUUUGAGUCUACAUAAGUUUAUUGUGAUGACCUGAUAGGUCAUCUUGUAUUUUUGAACCUAAUUAUAUGUUUCGAGGUCUCAAAAAUCUCAUUUUAGCCUUUAUCAAUUUGCGUG
Molecule: non-coding RNA, 386 nt
Organism: Nicotiana tabacum (common tobacco)
Lineage: Eukaryota; Viridiplantae; Streptophyta; Magnoliopsida; Solanales; Solanaceae
Source: RefSeq, a predicted model, not a curated record